RNAcentral lists this long non-coding RNA (1584 nucleotides) under Zostera marina. Its description in RNAcentral is "long non-coding RNA (ZMAR_LNC005618)". The record is from RNAcentral. Lineage: Eukaryota; Viridiplantae; Streptophyta; Magnoliopsida; Alismatales; Zosteraceae.
GAUGAAAUCAUUGAAUUGAUUAAAAAUGAUUAUAAACAAAUAUUUACUUUACAGAAUACACAUUAUUUAGUGAUUUAGUUAAUUUUAAUUGUUCAAACAAUUUUCAGUGAUUUUGAUUUCAUUCUUCCAAAAUCUAAAUCUGAGUUCUUGUGUCAUUCUUAAUUCAGUAUUGAGCAUCUCUUCUCUCAUAUGGUAAUAUGAUAUCAGUUGUUGUUGACUCCCACCUAAAUUGCAGUAUGAAAUUUGGCUUGAAAAGAACUGGAUCGUAUUUGGAUGAAUUCAUGGAUCCAAGCGGCCAUUGACCACUAUGUUCUUCUUGGUUAUGGAAAAUCCAUUGAUGAAAUGAAAAAAAAGGGAAUACGAUGAAAAUGAAUGGUAAAUCCACUUCACUAGUUCAUAUAAAAUCUACAUAUUUGUGGAAUGUUAAAGCUGCUGAUCAUCUCUGAAUCUCAAUAUCUGGGUCUUUCCUAGAUUCGACUGAACUCUUCUUUAUCUUUAUGGAGAUCUCUAGAGACUAUCCGUUCUUCUACUGCAUAUAACAAAACAUCACAAAAUCAAUCAACCUCGAUGGAAUGCAAAGAUUGAUGAUCUGAGUAAUAAUGUAAGAUUGUAAGCUUAUGCGUAGCAAUCAUAUAAUUUUUUUCGUUAUUAUGUUCCUUCUUUAUCUAUCAAUAUCUCAACUUCCAAAGAAGAAAUACAGAAACGAUAAGAAGACUUGACUUGGUUAAUUUAAGUCCAUAAGCAUUCAAAAGAAGUCAUUGCCAUAAAUGAUACGGCUAACUAGUUUUGCCAAGAUGGACUGAAAAUGAUACAUUAGAAUCAGAAAAAUAACUAAAAUUUUAGAGAAAAGACAUUCCAGUUUGUUGAUGCAGUGAGAAGAAUGAAGAUUGGGCAAAGAACCAUCGUUGAUCCACUGAAUUCUAAUACUAUUUAUAAUACUGAAAUCACCAAAAAAGUACAACUAAUUAGUCACCACAAUCACAGACCAACGCAGUACUCCACUAUUUAUUAAUUACAGUUAACUAAAUCCCAAUACAGUUAAGAUCUAUAAAAAACCAGAAUAAAUGGGCAAGAUCGAUCAAAUCCAAGAUUGUGACUGAUAAAAGUAAAUAACUUAACAAAUUCAAUGCAUACUUCUAUAAUCCACUAUAACAGCAUCAAGCCAUCAACAUAAGAAUCGAGAAGAAGAAAUAGAAAACCAGGAAGACGUAAAAAAAACAGCAAUGGUAAUUCAAUUUAAGAUCAACUUCAAUAGAGUAAAACAUUAUACAAAAGCAACUUUAAAAUAUGAAGAAAUUAACAUUUAACAGUACCUCAUCGUCUGAGAACUAUAGCCAAAACGUCUAGGUAACAAUCAAUCAGUUGCUGCUUCGCAAUCACAUCCGGAAAGAAACAGUGCCAUCUUAGUAGAUGUGCGAUCGCUGAAAUUAGAACCAUCACUGGAUUUGAGAGAAGAGUGUAUAGAAUCACCAGAUCAGCUCAUUCUACAUCGAAUCUGACGGGAUCUACUAGUGCAGUGGAAUAAGGACAGUGAAGAACAGCCGCGCUGAAUAUCGUCGGGGAGGAGAUAGGGGUGGGGUUUUG